GAUGAACGCUGGCGGCGUGCCUAAUACAUGCAAGUCGAGCGAACAGACGAGGAGCUUGCUCCUCUGACGUUAGCGGCGGACGGGUGAGUAACACGUGGAUAACCUACCUAUAAGACUGGGAUAACUUCGGGAAACCGGAGCUAAUACCGGAUAAUAUAUUGAACCGCAUGGUUCAAUAGUGAAAGACGGUUUUGCUUUCACUUAUAGAUGGAUCCGCGCCGCAUUAGCUAGUUGGUAAGGUAACGGCUUACCAAGGCAACGAUUCGUAGCCGACCUGAGAGGGUGAUCGGCCACACUGGAACUGAGACACGGUCCAGACUCCUACGGGAGGCAGCAGUAGGGAAUCUUCCGCAAUGGGCGAAAGCCUGACGGAGCAACGCCGCGUGAGUGAUGAAGGUCUUCGGAUCGUAAAACUCUGUUAUUAGGGAAGAACAAAUGUGUAAGUAACUAUGCACGUCUUGACGGUACCUAAUCAGAAAGCCACGGCUAACUACGUG
RNAcentral lists this ribosomal RNA (497 nucleotides) under uncultured bacterium. RNAcentral's name for it is "partial 16S ribosomal RNA". It matches the Rfam family "Bacterial small subunit ribosomal RNA", at positions 28 to 507 of the family's 1533-position model. The record is from RNAcentral.